UUUGAGAGUUUGAUCCUGGCUCAGGAUGAACGCUGGCGGAGUGCCUUAGGCAUGCAAGUGGAAUGUCGAUAAUCCCGCAAGGGAUGAUCGGCAUCGCAGACGGGUGAGUACAGCGUAGGAAUUUGCCCAAUGGUGGGGAAUAACUCGCCGAAAGGCGGGCUAAUACCGCAUAAGAUCGCAAGAUGAAAGGCCGUAACUGGCCGCCGAUGGAGAAGCCUACGUCCUAUCAGCUAGUUGGUGGGGUAAAAGCCUACCAAGGCUAUGACGGGUAGCUGGACUGAGAGGUUGGUCAGCCACAAUAGCACUGAGACACGGGCUAUACAUCUACGGAUGGCAGCAACCGGGAAUAUUGCGCAAUGGACGAAAGUCUGACGCAGCGACUCCGCGUGAGGGAUGACGGCCUUCGGGUCUUAAACCUCUUUUGUCCCGCUAUACGGCGGGGAGAAUAAGCACCUGCUAACCACGUGCCAGCAGCCGCGGUAAUACGUGGGGUGCAAGCGUUAUCCGGAUUUACUGGGCGUAAAGAGUUCGUAGGCGUUUUGCCAAGUUUUGUUUGAAAGACCGAGGCUCAACUUCGGAAACGGACGAAAUACUGGCAGAAUCGAGUUAGUUAGGGGGUACUGGAACUAUCAGUGUAGCAGUGAAAUGCGUUGAUAUUGACAGGAACACCAAGGGCGAAGGCAGGUACCUGGGACUUAACUGACGCUGAGGAACGAAAGCUAGGGGAGCGAAACGGAUUAGAGACCCGUGUAGUCCUAGCCGUAAACUAUGUACGCUUGAUCCUUGAUUUCCGCCUUUGGCGGAGCUGGGGGUUGGAGCUAACGCGUGAAGCGUACCGCCUGGGGAGUACGACCGCAAGGUUAAAACUCAAAGGAAUUGACGGGGAAGUGCACAACCAGGGGAGCAUGUGGUUCAAUUCGAUACGAAGCGAAGGACCUUACCCAGACUUGACAUCUCGAAGUUCUACUUUGCAGAAAUGCGAAGGAGUCCGUAAGGAGAUCGAGACAGCUGCUGCAUGGCUGUCGUCAGCUCGUGCCGUGGGGUGUCGACUUAAGUGUCGAAACGAGCGCAACCCUUAUCGCAUGUUACAAUGGGGAGUAACAACGGGUUGCCAAGCCGCAAGGCGGAGCUAAUCCCAUCAAACCUCCCCCCAGUUCAGAUUGAGGGCUGCAACUCGCCCUCAUGAAGACGGACUUGGUAGUAAUCGCGGAUCAGCAGGCCGCGGUGAAUACGUUCUCACUUCUUGUACACACCGCCCAUCAAGCCAGCAAAGUCGGCAAUACCUGAAACUCUGGGUUUCCCGGGGCAAGGGUAGGGUCGGCGAUGAGGGCUAAGUUGUAAAUCGGGGAGCACCUUGAACAAGGUAUCCCUAGCCGAAGCUGGGGAUGGAUCACCUCCUU
This 1400-nucleotide ribosomal RNA is filed under the name Candidatus Amesbacteria bacterium GW2011_GWB1_47_19. RNAcentral's name for it is "bacterial SSU rRNA". It matches the Rfam family "Bacterial small subunit ribosomal RNA". The record is from RNAcentral. Lineage: Bacteria; Candidatus Amesiibacteriota.